CCUACGGGAGGCAGCAGUGGGGAAUAUUGGACAAUGGGGGCAACCCUGAUCCAGCCAUGCCGCGUGUGUGAAGAAGGCCCUCGGGUUGUAAAGCACUUUCAGUGAGGAAGAACGCCUGGUGGUUAAUACCCAUCAGGAAAGACAUCACUCACAGAAGAAGCACCGGCUAACUCCGUGCCAGCAGCCGACGGUAAUACGGAGGGUGCGAGCGUUAAUCGGAAUUACUGGGCGUAAAGCGCGCGUAGGUGGCUUGAUAAGCCGGUUGUGAAAGCCCCGGGCUCAACCUGGGAACGGCAUCCGGAACUGGCCAGCUAGGAGGGAGGGGAGGAAGGGAGAAUUGCCGGGGGAGGGGGGAAAAUGGUUGAGGGCGGGAGGGAUACCAGGGGCGAAGGCGGCCUUCUGGACUGACACUGACACUGGGGUGCGAAAGCGUGGGUAGCAAACAGGAUUAGAUACCCUAGUAGUC
RNAcentral lists this ribosomal RNA (466 nucleotides) under Vreelandella stevensii. RNAcentral describes it as "partial 16S ribosomal RNA". It matches the Rfam family "Bacterial small subunit ribosomal RNA", at positions 338 to 795 of the family's 1533-position model. The record is from RNAcentral. Lineage: Bacteria; Pseudomonadati; Pseudomonadota; Gammaproteobacteria; Oceanospirillales; Halomonadaceae.